RNAcentral lists this transfer RNA (72 nucleotides) under Mycobacteroides chelonae. Its description in RNAcentral is "(Mycobacterium chelonae corrig. Bergey et al. 1923 (Approved Lists 1980) emend. Kim et al. 2017) tRNA-Gln". It matches the Rfam family "tRNA". Rfam says of the family: Transfer RNA (tRNA) molecules are approximately 80 nucleotides in length. Their secondary structure includes four short double-helical elements and three loops (D, anti-codon, and T loops). Further hydrogen bonds mediate the characteristic L-shaped molecular structure. tRNAs have two regions of fundamental functional importance: the anti-codon, which is responsible for specific mRNA codon recognition, and the 3' end, to which the tRNAs corresponding amino acid is attached (by aminoacyl-tRNA synthetases). tRNAs cope with the degeneracy of the genetic code in two manners: having more than one tRNA (with a specific anti-codon) for a particular amino acid; and 'wobble' base-pairing, i.e. permitting non-standard base-pairing at the 3rd anti-codon position. Lineage: Bacteria; Bacillati; Actinomycetota; Actinomycetes; Mycobacteriales; Mycobacteriaceae. The record is from RNAcentral.
CCUAGAUUCGUCUAACUGGCAGGACACCGGGCCCUGAACCCGGCAGUUGAGGUUCGAAUCCUUGGUCUAGGG